Molecule: transfer RNA, 83 nt
Filed under: Ipomoea nil (Japanese morning glory)
Lineage: Eukaryota; Viridiplantae; Streptophyta; Magnoliopsida; Solanales; Convolvulaceae
Rfam family: tRNA
About the family: Transfer RNA (tRNA) molecules are approximately 80 nucleotides in length. Their secondary structure includes four short double-helical elements and three loops (D, anti-codon, and T loops).
Source: Rfam by way of RNAcentral
GUCAGGAUGGCUGAGUGGUUUAAGGCGUCUGACUCAAGUUCUAGUCCUUGUGAGAGGGCGGGGUUCAAAUCCCACUUCUGACA